This 491-nucleotide ribosomal RNA is filed under the name uncultured bacterium. RNAcentral's name for it is "bacterial SSU rRNA". It matches the Rfam family "Bacterial small subunit ribosomal RNA", at positions 8 to 507 of the family's 1533-position model. The record is from RNAcentral.
AGAGUUUGAUCCUGGCUCAGAACGAACGCUGGCGGCAUGCCUAACACAUGCAAGUCGAACGCCUGUAGCAAUACAGGAGUGGCGCACGGGUGCGUAACACGUAUGCAAUCUACCCUGUACAGGAGUAUAGCUCCCCGAAAGGGGAAUUAACCCUCCAUAAUAUGAUGAACCGGCAUCGGUUUAUUAUUAAAACUGAGGUGGUACAGGAUGAGCAUGCGUCUGAUUAGCUAGUUGGUAGUGUAAUGGACUACCAAGGCAAUGAUCAGUAGGGGAACUGAGAGGUUGAUCCCCCACACUGGCACUGAGAUACGGGCCAGACUCCUACGGGAGGCAGCAGUAGGGAAUAUUGGACAAUGGGUGAGAGCCUGAUCCAGCCAUGCCGCGUGCAGGAAGAAGGCCUUCUGGGUUGUAAACUGCUUUUAUCUGGGGAUAAAAAGGCCUUGCGAGGCAAACUGAAGGUACCAGAUGAAUAAGCCACGGCUAACUACGUG